RNA transcript from Musca domestica (house fly), 2279 nucleotides. It is a transcript of the gene named protein shisa-5, with no coding region annotated. The transcript is spliced from 2 exons. The record is from RefSeq and is a predicted model, not a curated record. Lineage: Eukaryota; Metazoa; Arthropoda; Insecta; Diptera; Muscidae.
UAUUAUUGAAGGGAUGACUGAACAGGAACGUACGUGUGCAAUCCAAUUUGAUUCAUUAAAAGUUACUGACACGGACAGUAAUGUCGUUACAUAUUCUUUAGGACUGCAGCUUAGUGGGUUAUGUAACGAGUGGAGGAUACUAUUGGGCUUUUUACUAACACGGGAAUAUAGCAUUUCGGUACUGGAAGGUGUACUUCGAGAAGUACUCGUUGGGCUAAAGGGACUAUCAUUGAAAAUAGUUUCACUAAUUUGCGAUAGACAUAGUGUUCAUGUUCAAUUCUUCCAGCAAUAUCGCGGCUACCUUGGACCAAAUCGUCUGUGCUUUCCUCCAAAUUCAGAAGAUACUUUACAUUGUAUGUUCGAUAUUCCCCACUUGCUAACUAAUUUAUUAAAUUACUUUUUCGACAAUCAAGUUUUUAUUAAAAGCAGGUUGGGCAAACAGAUAGAUGUCGCUUCUCCCGCACUAAUUUUCAAAAUUUUUGAGUCUAAAAACGAUUUAGAUGCUAGUAAUAUUACUUGUUCGCAAUUGCAAAAAACUCAUUUUGCAACAAGGUACUACAAAUCGUAUUCAUACGAAAAUAAGCCAAUGGAUAGAGCGACAGCUAUUUUUAACAGAAACGUGCUUGCCGCUCUUGACAGUGAUAUAUUUUCGGAAACCGAGCAAGUAAUGGUAGAGGCGACCAAAAAAUUAUUUGCUGGUAUAAUACCAAUUGUAGAGCUUUGCACGAACAAUUUCAUAAAUAAUGAUAAAAAUGAGGCGUGCGCAAUAGCUUAUAGAUCCAUAUUUUUUUUGCAAUUUGUUGAGUGCGGCAACAUACCUUUUAUGCUUCAGCAAUCAUUGGAAACAAUGACGUCUCUAUUGCUGGAGUAUGAAGGGAUUAAACCUAAACACUGUGUCAAUGAUGGCAUAGAGUAUGACUUUGCAGAAAUUAGGAAACGUUGCGGUGGUAGACCUGCUUUUAAUGAUCUUAUUAAUGUUAAAUCUAGAUCCGAUUGUGUUAUUAAACUAACCAGAUCUAUUGACAGAACAUUAUUUUGGUCCGAAAAGUGCUUUAACGCGUAACGUCUUUUUUAUUAAUACAAGCCACUUGAUUUGUUUUCAUUUGAUACAAAAACAAGACGCACGUUAGAAGCCUCGCUUUGUGCUUUUUUUUUUUUUUGUUAAUACAUUAAAAUGUCUAACGUAUAAUAGUAUCUUCUUUUGCCACUCAUUAGCCUUUAUUUGUCCGAUUGAUACGUUUGGUUUGGUUGUUCCGUUCACGUCUGUCUGAUAUUUGGUUUAUCGUGCAUAUUGAGCUUUUGCUGCUUGUUUUCGAGUUGCGUUUACCUACAAAAUGAUGAUUAGGGGCUCUCUGUUGGCUUAUUGGAAUAUUUUUUUUAAAAUCUUUUAAAUAAGUCACAAUAGAGCAGAUAAUCAGAAAUAUACGAAACGUAACAAUGGUUUGAAACUUAUUUUUUUUUGUACUUUUGUAUAUAUAGCCGCAGUUGUAGUAAUUAGAAUUUUUACUGUUUUAAUGUUUUUAAUACAUAUAUUUAUUUUCUAGUUAUAGAUGGGGGUUAUAUGGGAAAGUGAAGCGAAUACAAAACUUUUGUACACAAAGCCUCUCCUUUCCAAAUGUCAACCUCGCCCACACAUGGUGGCCCCUGUUUUCGCUAAAGAGGCUCUGGCGAAAAACUUACUCGUGGAUUCUCCUGGGCUUUCAUAAAGGAAAUAUUUUUUAUUUCAAAUUUUCGAGCAUCCACUCGAUGGACCCUGUGUGGAUUCAGAAUUAAUAACCGACAUAUAUGCUUCUUCUUUUUCAGACGCUCCCCAACAUACGUACUUGCAACGUAGAUGUACUAGGUAAUCGCAUCAGCCAUGUACUAGGUAAUCGCAUCAGCACCAUUAAAUGUCAAAACAAAUUGUAAUGAAGAAUUCGCCCUAAAAGUACCUUUUUAUUGAUUGCCGGCCAGAAAUCAAGAACUUUGUUAAUUACUAAUAAAUUAAAGCUGAAAAGUAAUGCAAUAUGUUUCCAAUGAAUAUAUUUAUAAAACAACCCAAGAGUGACGCACAGAAAACGAAAGCCCCUGCUUAAAUAAACAAAUAAAAAAUAUUAACUGAUAUCUUCAUAGAUAUCCGAUAUUGUGUCAUAGAGUAUCUAAUAUCGCAAUAAAGAAAGAUUCAAGCAACGACGACAACAAGUGGUUGACAUCAAUUGAGUGGGGUUAUUAGCAACAACGAGCAAGCAUCCUUGAGGGGUCGACGGUCUACUUUUUUUAUUGGUUGAAAAAAACUUUAC